Molecule: ribosomal RNA, 938 nt
Filed under: uncultured bacterium
Lineage: Bacteria
Description: bacterial SSU rRNA
Rfam family: Bacterial small subunit ribosomal RNA
Source: RNAcentral
GAUCCUGGCUCAGAUUGAACGCUGGCGGCAGGCCUAACACAUGCAAGUCGAACGGUAACAGGAAGAAGCUUGCUUCUUUGCUGACGAGUGGCGGACGGGUGAGUAAUGUCUGGGAAACUGCCUGAUGGAGGGGGAUAACUACUGGAAACGGUAGCUAAUACCGCAUAACGUCGCAAGACCAAAAAGGGGGACCUUCGGGCCUCUUGCCAUCGGAUGUGCCCAGAUGGGAUUAGCUAGUAGGUGGGGUAACGGCUCACCUAGGCGACGAUCCCUAGCUGGUCUGAGAGGAUGACCAGCCACACUGGAACUGAGACACGGUCCAGACUCCUACGGGAGGCAGCAGUGGGGAAUAUUGCACAAUGGGCGCAAGCCUGAUGCAGCCAUGCCGCGUGUAUGAAGAAGGCCUUCGGGUUGUAAAGACUUUCAGCGGGGAGGAAGGGAGUAAAGUUAAUACCUUUGCUCAUUGACGUUACCCGCAGAAGAAGCACCGGCUAACUCCGUGCCAGCAGCCGCGGUAAUACGGAGGGUGCAAGCGUUAAUCGGAAUUACUGGGCGUAAAGCGCACGCAGGCGGUUUGUUAAGUCAGAUGUGAAAUCCCCGGGCUCAACCUGGGAACUGCAUCUGAUACUGGCAAGCUUGAGUCUCGUAGAGGGGGGUAGAAUUCCAGGUGUAGCGGUGAAAUGCGUAGAGAUCUGGAGGAAUACCGGUGGCGAAGGCGGCCCCCUGGACGAAGACUGACGCUCAGUGCGAAAGCGUGGGAGCAAACAGGAUUAGAUACCCUGGUAGUCCACGCCGUAACGAUGUCGACCUGGAGGUUGUGCCCUUGAGCGUGGCUUCCGGAGCUAACGCGUUAAGUCGACCGCCUGGGGAGUACGGCCGCAAGGUUAAAACUCAAAUGAAUUGACGGGGGCCCGCACAAGCGGGGAGCAUGGUGGUUU